GUGCUCACUUUGGCAGUACAUGUACUAAAAUUGGAAUGAUACAGAGAUUACCAUGGCCUCUGAGCAAGGAUGACACGCAAAUUGAUGAAGUAUUCCAUAUAAAA
Molecule: small nuclear RNA, 104 nt
Filed under: Theropithecus gelada (gelada)
Lineage: Eukaryota; Metazoa; Chordata; Mammalia; Primates; Cercopithecidae
Source: RNAcentral